CAGUCGCCACGGUAAUACGUAGGGUGCAAGCGUUAAUCGGAAUUACUGGGCGUAAAGCGUGCGCAGGCGGUUAUAUAAGACAGAUGUGAAAUCCCCGGGCUCAACCUGGGAACUGCAUUUGUGACUGUAUAGCUAGAGUACGGCAGAGGGGGAUGGAAUUCCGCGUGUAGCAGUGAAAUGCGUAGAUAUGCGGAGGAACACCGAUGGCGAAGGCAAUCCCCUGGGCCUGUACUGACGCUCAUGCACGAAAGCGUGGGGAGCAAACAGGAUUAGAGACCCGAGUAGUCCCUGUCUCUUAUAC
RNAcentral lists this ribosomal RNA (301 nucleotides) under uncultured bacterium. RNAcentral's name for it is "partial 16S ribosomal RNA". It matches the Rfam family "Bacterial small subunit ribosomal RNA", at positions 509 to 807 of the family's 1533-position model. The record is from RNAcentral.